CUUUCCUCCGCUGUAUAGCUUUCUUCAACGGUUCAACCCAACCAAGAAAUCAGAAGAAAGGAGAACAAAAAGUUUGAAGGUUUGAAGAAGCUAAGGAUAUAUAUACAAUAUUGCAUUGAUUUACUCACCGACAAUGCUAAUGUCAAAAGGGUCGAACUCCAGGUCUUGGCAAGGAAGUUUAAGAAGCUUGAAAACACUGAAUAAAUUUAAAGACUCGUGUGCAUGUGGUGCACAUAAUAGCUUUAGUUAAUUGUUUUAAAUGGUAUUCUCGUAUAAUUAUGUUCAUUUUUUAAUAAUAUUGACAUUUGAUCUUGUGUUCUUUUAUAAAUUCUUUAAUGUUCUUUGUAAUAAACUUUAUGCUUUAUAUAAUAUACUUUCAUGUUC
Molecule: long non-coding RNA, 384 nt
Organism: Beta vulgaris subsp. vulgaris (sugar beet)
Lineage: Eukaryota; Viridiplantae; Streptophyta; Magnoliopsida; Caryophyllales; Amaranthaceae
Exons: 2
Source: RefSeq, a predicted model, not a curated record